UAACGAAUAUUCCGCAAUGCGCGAAAGCGUGACGGAGCAAUGCCGCGUGCAGGAUGAAGCGGUUUCGCCGUGUAAACUGCUGUCAGGGGCAGGAAAUACUGAUCCGCCCCAGAGGAAGAGACGGCUAACCCUGUGCCAGCAGCCGCGGUAAGACAGGGGUCUCGAGCGUUAAUCGGAAUCACUGGGCUUAAAGGGUGCGUAGGCGGACCAGUAAGCGUCCUGUGAAAUCCCAUGGCUCAACCAUGGAAUUGCAGGGCGAACUGCUGGUCUUGAGGAAGCUAGAGGCUGGCAGAACGAUUGGUGGAGCGGUGGAAUGCGUAGAUAUCAAUCGGAAUGCCGAAAGUGAAGACAGCCAGCUGGGGCUUUCCUGACGCUGAGGCACGAGAGCGUGGGUAGCAAACCGGAUUAGAUACCCGGGUAGUCCACGCCCUAAACGAUGUACACUAGACUGAAGCGGCUCUGACGUCGUUUUGGUCGUAGAGAAAUUGAUAAGUGUACCGCCUGGGGAGUACGGUCGCAAGGCUA
RNAcentral lists this ribosomal RNA (525 nucleotides) under uncultured Pseudomonadota bacterium. RNAcentral's name for it is "bacterial SSU rRNA". It matches the Rfam family "Bacterial small subunit ribosomal RNA", at positions 355 to 896 of the family's 1533-position model. The record is from RNAcentral. Lineage: Bacteria; Pseudomonadati; Pseudomonadota.